Non-coding RNA from Streptomyces sp., 492 nucleotides. The record is from Rfam. Lineage: Bacteria; Bacillati; Actinomycetota; Actinomycetes; Kitasatosporales; Streptomycetaceae.
CACUUCUUGCCCCGGCCGUCGAGCACCUGGCCACCGAAGGCGUCCCCGUCGGCCAUCAGGCCGAUCACGGCCUCGUCCCCGUACGGACCCUCGCCGAGCUUCUCGACCUUGCCGUGCGCGAUCAGGUACACGUGGUCGGCCUUGCGGCCCUCCUGCACGAUGACCUGGCCGGCGGUGAACUCCUUCUGCACGAACUUGUCGGCCAGCGCACCGAGCGCGUCGCUGUCGCAGAAGCCGCGCAGCAGGGGCAGUUCACCCAGUUCGGCGGGGACCACCUGGACCUUGGAGCCGGUCUUCACGAAACUCACCCGGCCAUCGCCCAGGGUGUAGGAGAGGCGGCGGUUGACCCGGUAGGUCGCGCCGGGCACGUUCACCCAGGGCAGGAUGCGGGUCGCCCAGCGGGAGCUGAUGCCCUGCAUCUGGGGUUCGGACUUGGUGGUGGUGGCGAGAUUGCGCGCCGCCGCGGUACUGAGACUCUGCUGGUCCUGCCGC